CUACGGGUGGCAGCAGUGAGGAAUAUUGCACAAUGGGGGGAACUCUGAUGCAGCAACGCCGCGUGGAGGAUGACACUUUUCGGAGCGUAAACUCCUUUUAUAUAGGAAGAAGAUGACGGUACUAUAUGAAUAAGCGCCGGCUAACUCCGUGCCAGCAGCCGCGGUAAUACGGAGGGCGCAAGCGUUACUCGGAAUCACUGGGCGUAAAGAGCGUGUAGGCGGAUUAAAAAGUCAGAAGUGAAAUCCUAUAGCUUAACUAUAGAACUGCUUCUGAAACUCUUAAUCUAGAAUAUGGGAGAGGUAGAUGGAACUUCUGGUGUAGGGGUAAAAUCCGUAGAGAUCAGAAGGAAUACCGAUUGCGAAGGCGAUCUACUAGAACAUUAUUGACGCUGAGACGCGAAAGCGUGGGGAGCAAACAGGAUUAGAUACCCCUGUAGUC
Molecule: ribosomal RNA, 439 nt
Filed under: uncultured bacterium
Lineage: Bacteria
Description: partial 16S ribosomal RNA
Rfam family: Bacterial small subunit ribosomal RNA
Source: RNAcentral